UACAGAGGGGGCAAGCGUUGUUCGGAAUUACUGGGCGUAAAGGGCGCGUAGGCGGCCUGUUAAGUCGAACGUGAAAUCCCUGGGCUCAACCCAGGAACUGCGUCCGAUACUGGCAGGCUUGAAUCCGGGAGAGGGAUGUGGAAUUCCAGGUGUAGCGGUGAAAUGCGUAGAUAUCUGGAGGAACACCGGUGGCGAAGGCGGCAUCCUGGACCGUUAUUGACGCUGAGGCGCGAAAUCCAGUGGAGCAAACUUG
This 253-nucleotide ribosomal RNA is filed under the name uncultured bacterium. RNAcentral describes it as "partial 16S ribosomal RNA". It matches the Rfam family "Bacterial small subunit ribosomal RNA", at positions 524 to 776 of the family's 1533-position model. The record is from RNAcentral.